This 245-nucleotide ribosomal RNA is filed under the name uncultured bacterium. Its description in RNAcentral is "partial 16S ribosomal RNA". It matches the Rfam family "Bacterial small subunit ribosomal RNA", at positions 524 to 768 of the family's 1533-position model. The record is from RNAcentral.
GACAGAGGGUGCAAGCGUUGUUCGGAAUCAUUGGGCGUAAAGGGCGCGUAGGCGGCUGUGUAAGUCGGGUGUGAAAGCCCGGGGCUUAACCCCGGAAGUGCGCCCGAUACUGCACGGCUUGAGUCCUGGAGAGGGUGGUGGAAUUCCCAGUGUAGAGGUGAAAUUCGUAGAUAUUGGGAGGAAUACCAGUAGCGAAGGCGACCACCUGGACAGAGACUGACGCUGAGGCGCGAAAGCGUGGGGAG